This 2872-nucleotide ribosomal RNA is filed under the name Escherichia coli. RNAcentral's name for it is "partial 23S ribosomal RNA". It matches the Rfam family "Bacterial large subunit ribosomal RNA". The record is from RNAcentral. Lineage: Bacteria; Pseudomonadati; Pseudomonadota; Gammaproteobacteria; Enterobacterales; Enterobacteriaceae.
GUGGAUGCCCUGGCAGUCAGAGGCGAUGAAGGACGUGCUAAUCUGCGAUAAGCGUCGGUGAGGUGAUAUGAACCGUUAUAACCGGCGAUUUCCGAAUGGGGAAACCCAGUGUGUUUCGACACACUAUCAUUAACUGAAUCCAUAGGUUAAUGAGGCGAACCGGGGGAACUGAAACAUCUAAGUACCCCGAGGAAAAGAAAUCAACCGAGAUUCCCCCAGUAGCGGCGAGCGAACGGGGAGGAGCCCAGAGUCUGAAUCAGUGUGUGUGUUAGUGGAAGCGUCUGGAAAGGCGCGCGAUACAGGGUGACAGCCCCGUACACAAAAAUGCACAUAUUGUGAGCUCGAUGAGUAGGGCGGGACACGUGGUAUCCUGUCUGAAUAUGGGGGGACCAUCCUCCAAGGCUAAAUACUCCUGACUGACCGAUAGUGAACCAGUACCGUGAGGGAAAGGCGAAAAGAACCCCGGCGAGGGGAGUGAAAAAGAACCUGAAACCGUGUACGUACAAGCAGUGGGAGCCUCUUAAUGGGGUGACUGCGUACCUUUUGUAUAAUGGGUCAGCGACUUAUAUUCUGUAGCAAGGUUAACCGAAUAGGGGAGCCGAAGGGAAACCGAGUCUUAACUGGGCGUUAAGUUGCAGGGUAUAGACCCGAAACCCGGUGAUCUAGCCAUGGGCAGGUUGAAGGUUGGGUAACACUAACUGGAGGACCGAACCGACUAAUGUUGAAAAAUUAGCGGAUGACUUGUGGCUGGGGGUGAAAGGCCAAUCAAACCGGGAGAUAGCUGGUUCUCCCCGAAAGCUAUUUAGGUAGCGCCUCGUGAAUUCAUCUCCGGGGGUAGAGCACUGUUUCGGCAAGGGGGUCAUCCCGACUUACCAACCCGAUGCAAACUGCGAAUACCGGAGAAUGUUAUCACGGGAGACACACGGCGGGUGCUAACGUCCGUCGUGAAGAGGGAAACAACCCAGACCGCCAGCUAAGGUCCCAAAGUCAUGGUUAAGUGGGAAACGAUGUGGGAAGGCCCAGACAGCCAGGAUGUUGGCUUAGAAGCAGCCAUCAUUUAAAGAAAGCGUAAUAGCUCACUGGUCGAGUCGGCCUGCGCGGAAGAUGUAACGGGGCUAAACCAUGCACCGAAGCUGCGGCAGCGACACUAUGUGUUGUUGGGUAGGGGAGCGUUCUGUAAGCCUGUGAAGGUGUGCUGUGAGGCAUGCUGGAGGUAUCAGAAGUGCGAAUGCUGACAUAAGUAACGAUAAAGCGGGUGAAAAGCCCGCUCGCCGGAAGACCAAGGGUUCCUGUCCAACGUUAAUCGGGGCAGGGUGAGUCGACCCCUAAGGCGAGGCCGAAAGGCGUAGUCGAUGGGAAACAGGUUAAUAUUCCUGUACUUGGUGUUACUGCGAAGGGGGGACGGAGAAGGCUAUGUUGGCCGGGCGACGGUUGUCCCGGUUUAAGCGUGUAGGCUGGUUUUCCAGGCAAAUCCGGAAAACCAAGGCUGAGGCGUGAUGACGAGGCACUACGGUGCUGAAGCGACAAAUGCCCUGCUUCCAGGAAAAGCCUCUAAGCAUCAGGUAACAUCAAAUCGUACCCCAAACCGACACAGGUGGUCAGGUAGAGAAUACCAAGGCGCUUGAGAGAACUCGGGUGAAGGAACUAGGCAAAAUGGUGCCGUAACUUCGGGAGAAGGCACGCUGAUAUGUAGGUGAAGCGACUUGCUCGUGGAGCUGAAAUCAGUCGAAGAUACCAGCUGGCUGCAACUGUUUAUUAAAAACACAGCACUGUGCAAACACGAAAGUGGACGUAUACGGUGUGACGCCUGCCCGGUGCCGGAAGGUUAAUUGAUGGGGUUAGCGGUAACGCGAAGCUCUUGAUCGAAGCCCCGGUAAACGGCGGCCGUAACUAUAACGGUCCUAAGGUAGCGAAAUUCCUUGUCGGGUAAGUUCCGACCUGCACGAAUGGCGUAAUGAUGGCCAGGCUGUCUCCACCCGAGACUCAGUGAAAUUGAACUCGCUGUGAAGAUGCAGUGUACCCGCGGCAAGACGGAAAGACCCCGUGAACCUUUACUAUAGCUUGACACUGAACAUUGAGCCUUGAUGUGUAGGAUAGGUGGGAGGCUUUGAAGUGUGGACGCCAGUCUGCAUGGAGCCGACCUUGAAAUACCACCCUUUAAUGUUUGAUGUUCUAACGUGGGCCCCUAAUCGGGGUUGCGGACAGUGUCUGGUGGGUAGUUUGACUGGGGCGGUCUCCUCCUAAAGAGUAACGGAGGAGCACGAAGGUUGGCUAAUCCUGGUCGGACAUCAGGAGGUUAGUGCAAUGGCAUAAGCCAGCUUGACUGCGAGCGUGACGGCGCGAGCAGGUGCGAAAGCAGGUCAUAGUGAUCCGGUGGUUCUGAAUGGAAGGGCCAUCGCUCAACGGAUAAAAGGUACUCCGGGGAUAACAGGCUGAUACCGCCCAAGAGUUCAUAUCGACGGCGGUGUUUGGCACCUCGAUGUCGGCUCAUCACAUCCUGGGGCUGAAGUAGGUCCCAAGGGUAUGGCUGUUCGCCAUUUAAAGUGGUACGCGAGCUGGGUUUAGAACGUCGUGAGACAGUUCGGUCCCUAUCUGCCGUGGGCGCUGGAGAACUGAGGGGGGCUGCUCCUAGUACGAGAGGACCGGAGUGGACGCAUCACUGGUGUUCGGGUUGUCAUGCCAAUGGCACUGCCCGGUAGCUAAAUGCGGAAGAGAUAAGUGCUGAAAGCAUCUAAGCACGAAACUUGCCCCGAGAUGAGUUCUCCCUGACUCCUUGAGAGUCCUGAAGGAACGUUGAAGACGACGACGUUGAUAGGCCGGGUGUGUAAGCGCAGCGAUGCGUUGAGCUAACCGGUACUAAUGAACCGUGAGG